This 981-nucleotide ribosomal RNA is filed under the name uncultured bacterium. Its description in RNAcentral is "bacterial SSU rRNA". It matches the Rfam family "Bacterial small subunit ribosomal RNA", at positions 521 to 1502 of the family's 1533-position model. The record is from RNAcentral.
UAAUACGGAAGGUCCAAGCGUUAAUCGGAAUUACUGGGCGUAAAGCGCGCGUAGGUGGUUUAUUAAGUUGGGUGUGAAAGCCCCGGGCUCAACCUGGGAACUGCAUCCAAAACUGAUUCACUAGAGUACGAAAGAGGAAAGUAGAAUUCACAGUGUAGCGGUGGAAUGCGUAGAUAUUGUGAAGAAUACCGAUGGCGAAGGCAGCUUUCUGGUUCUGUACUGACACUGAGGUGCGAAAGCGUGGGUAGCGAACAGGAUUAGAUACCCUGGUAGUCCACGCCGUAAACGAUGACAACUAGCUGUUGGAAAGCUAUGCUUUUCAGUGGCGCAGCUAACGUCUUAAGUUGUCCGCCUGGGGAGUACGGCCGCAAGGUUAAAACUCAAAUGAAUUGACGGGGACCCGCACAAGCGGUGGAGCAUGUGGUUUAAUUCGAUGCAACGCGAAAAACCUUACCUACACUUGACAUACUUGGAAUCUUUUGUAAUGAAAGAGUGCCUUUUGGAGCCAAGAUACAGGUGCUGCAUGGCUGUCGUCAGCUCGUGUCGUGAGAUGUUGGGUUAAGUCCCAUAACGAGCGCAACCCUUACCCUUAUUUGCCAGCGAUUCGGUCGGGAACUAUAAGGGGACUGCCGGUGAUAAACCGGAGGAAGGUGAGGACGACGUCAAGUCAUCAUGGCCCUUACGUGUAGGGCUACACACGUGCUACAAUGGGGAGUACAGAUAGACGCUAAAGCGCGAGCUGGUGCUAAUCUCAUAAAACUCUUCGUAGUCCGGAUUGCAGUCUGCAACUCGACUGCAUGAAGUCGGAAUCGCUAGUAAUCGCGAAUCAGCAUGUCGCGGUGAAUACGUUCUCGGGUCUUGUACACACCGCCCGUCACACCAUGGGAGUGUAUUGCACCAGAAGUGGGUAGUCUAACCUUCGGGAGGGCGCUCACCANCGGUGUGGUCCAUGACUGGGGUGAAGUCGUAACAAGGUAACCG